Triticum aestivum (bread wheat) is the source of this 1833-nucleotide long non-coding RNA. RefSeq lists it as uncharacterized. The transcript has 3 exons. NCBI's taxonomy places the organism in Eukaryota, Viridiplantae, Streptophyta, Magnoliopsida, Poales, Poaceae. The record is from RefSeq and is a predicted model, not a curated record.
ACUUCUUAGUAUUCAACCCGCGCUCCAUUGUUCUGUCUUAUCCACGCGAGCGUUCCCAAAUCCCCCUCGACCCCGGCUACAUCAGGGGACGCCGCCACCCCUCUGCCGCCGGCCUCUCCGCACCGGCGACCUCCCCUCCCCUCCCCUCCUAUCACUUCCCUUCCCUUCCCCCUUAUAGAGAGGCGAGCCCAUGUCGCUCCCGCCACGGUUGGAUCCAGACCAAGCACGUGGGGUUCCAGCUCGACAUGGCGGCGGGAUUCGCGGAUCCACGGCCACGGUGGUGCGAGCGCCUAGCCGCAGUCGUGAGAAGAGAGGAGGCAGGGCGGCCAUGGCGUUCCCGCCAUAGCCGGAUAACUGGCUCCACCACGAGCUCCUCGCAGAGUGACGAUGGCGGCUCCGAACCCUAGCGGACGCUCCUGCUCAUCUUCCUCCACACCUCCGGCGCCAUAUUCAUCGCCUACAUGGACGCAGCUUCCUCUCUGGCGACAGGAAUGGUUUAUAAUCUAGGUAGCGCAAAUUGUUUUUGGUUGGCGAUGACUGCAAUCAUUUUCGGGAUAAAAAGCAGUUAAGAGUUAACUUCAAAUUUAUUUUGACACUCCCGUCCAUAUUACUGCCGUUUAUUUAUGAAAAAAUAUUUGGUAGAUGGAUAACUAAACCGUCUUCCUUUUUUUUCAGCUUUUGGUGCCACUUUGUAAACUCUUAGCGAUAUGAGGAACCAGAGGUCAACACAAGGUAAGCACAUUCAGAAGCCAGAUUACUCUGCAUGAGAAGAUUCAGCAUAAGGCUUAUGGUGGUGAUGAAAACAUCAUCAGAAUCGUCACCACUAGGAGCAAAGCUUAGCUGCUUGCGACAUUCAACCAAUAUAGUGUCGUAACCUGCUCAUUCUGCUAUAUUUGUUAUGCCUACCUUUUCUCUCUGUUGCAUUCUACUAAUGGUUCAGUACGUUGGACAAGCUGCUAACAAACUAUUCUGAAUUUCUACUUGAAAAGAUGCAUCAGAUCGCAGAGUAUGUUGGCGAUGUCUUAGUGUGUAUUGAACAGCUUUUUUUAUUACAUCUUGAUUGUUGACAUUGGUGGUGUUUUCUUUUGGUUCAGCAGAAAUUUGUUGAAGUGAAAGAUGAAGAGGAACUUGUGGAAGAGCUGAAUACAGGACAUGGAAGAAAGAAGAAAGCAAAGCAUAUACAUUAUAAUGAUAUGUGGAGUAUGAUUUCCCUGAUGCUAUGUUAAAUGGUUUCAAGCACGUUGUGGAGGAUUUAGCCAUAGAUUUUGGUGUAACGUAAGGACGAUAUUUGUGUUCUUCGCUGAGCAUUGAAAACCUGCGAAUUUCUGGCUGCUAACUUUUUUUUGACUGUGCUAACUUAAACUAUGGUCUUUGUGGAGAACAUGUCCAGUAAUCUCAGUAUCAUUACCUGCACAGUAGAACAUCAACUAUUUUACCAUAAAAGUUAGUUCAAUUCAGUUAUUCUAGCCAGCUAGCUAAUGUGGUUCUUGCAAAUAGCACUAGCAGCAUCGCAUACCAUGAUUCUUUCAUAGUGGGGUUACAUCUGAGGCAACAUAUAUUUAUUCUCUAUCUAGAUGUUGUAUCAGGAUGAAGCUUACCAACAAGGAUCAGAAGAAAACAUCAGUCACGCCUAAUUGUGACGAAGAGUAAGGCAAUAGAGCUAUUUGGGUUGUAUAAGAAGAAUACCGGCCAAUGCAGGUUGAGGCUAGACAAUUGUUGCUUAACUGGGUUCAAGUUAGCUCAAUUGUUCUGACAAGCUUUAGUUUUUUUUUUCCUCUGGUGUGUAUUCUUGAGACAUUUUAUAUAAAUAUAAAUAGCAUACAAGCAAUCCCA